AAAAAUUAGUUUGUUUAAAUUGAAUUAUUUAUAUAUUGUUUAAGGGCCCAAUUUUUAAAAUAUCCGAGGACCGGCACUGGCCCUAGAAGAACUUGAUUAAAAAUGCUUUUGUCCUCUCUAUCUGUGAAACUUUGAAGCUUGGAUGGGAUUUGUAAUGACCCACUACUCCCACCACCUCCACUAUACCCACUAUCUCCACCAUCUCCACCAUCCCCACCACUCCCACCAUCUCCACCAUCUCCACCAUCCCCAACUUCUUUAAAGAGAAAGAGAGAGAGAGAGAGAAAGAGAGAGAGAAAGAGAGAGAAAGCUCACAUGAGCUCGUCGCCGGAGCAACCGUGUGCCGUGAUCACGUUGAGCUCGUCACCACCGUUCGCUGCAGCUUAGAAUCGCCGGAAACCGCCAUACAGUUAAGCUUAGUUUCGUCCGUUUAGUAAUUCGCCGAUAACUCUCUAACCGUAGAGAAUGUCGUGCAUCCAAGACCAUCAUCGUGUUCCUCUCGUCGAUACGAAGCCGUAGACACCAACCACGCCUCGAACGGAGCCCGGACGAAGCCGCACGCGCCUCCCGAAGAUUCGCCUGCGCGAGCGCGUGAAACACACGCGCCGCCGCCGGAACACCGUUCUCCGCCGCAGCGCCGCCGCCGGACCACCGUUCUCCGCCGUCGCCGCCGGUGACCGACACCGGUGAAUCGCCGGCGACUCGCCAACUCGGCCGAGUUGACCCGAUUUGGAGUCCAUUUGAGCAGCUGGAGUUCAUAUAUACCACUUCUCUUCAUUGCUAAGGUGAGACCGACGAGCAAGAGUGAUUAUCGGACCGGUGCUAUUGGGCUUUUGGGCUUCUAUCGCUUUUACCGCUUUUAUCUUUAUCGGGUCUUUAGGCCUUUGGACUUUUAUCGUUUAUGUUAUUCCUAUUUCAGACUUUCGGUUUAUGUCGUAUUUUAUAUUUCGGAUGUUAUCGUUAUCGGGCCUUUUGGCGUUAUGCUAUCGUAUUGACUUUUAUAUUAUGGUGGAAAUUAUUAUUAUUAUUUGAGUUGUAUUAUUAUUUUAUUUCCGCUUUAAUCUAUUUAUUAUAUUUCGAAAGUGACGGGUGUCACAUUUUGGUAUCAGAGCUAUUUAUUUAUCGUAACAUUUUAUUAUGUAAAUCGGGGUGUCACAAUUUGGUAACAGAGCGGGUUCCGUCCCGGGAUGGCGAUUUUUGGAGACCUGGUUUUAUUCGGUUUUGACGGUUUUAAACGAUUUCAAAAUAUUUUCGGGGAUUUGGGAAUUUAAAAAAAAAAAAAAAUAAAAAAAUAAAAAAUAAAAAAAUAAAUAAAUAGCACCUUUCCGUUCGGUAUCACUCCUUUCUAAUCCAAUUGUUUUUUUGACUAUGAGUUACUCAUCGUCAUCCGCUCUCUAGCUAACAGGAUUUCGGCCAUAGGUUUGACAUAUAGAUGAUGAUGUCACAGUUGAACGGAUUGCUCAGGUGUGUAUCAGUUUCGUCAGCUUAUGACAUGAAUUCGGGGACGAAUUCCAUAUAAGUGGGGGAGAAUUGUAAUGACCCACUACUCCCACCACCUCCACUAUACCCACUAUCUCCACCAUCUCCACCAUCCCCACCACUCCCACCAUCUCCACCAUCUCCACCAUCCCCAACUUCUUUAAAGAGAAAGAGAGAGAGAGAGAGAAAGAGAGAGAGAAAGAGAGAGAAAGCUCACAUGAGCUCGUCGCCGGAGCAACCGUGUGCCGUGAUCACGUUGAGCUCGUCACCACCGUUCGCUGCAGCUUAGAAUCGCCGGAAACCGCCAUACAAUUUGGAGUCCAUUUGAGCAGCUGGAGUUCAUAUAUACCACUUCUCUUCAUUGCUAAGGUGAGACCGACGAGCAAGAGUGAUUAUCGGACCGGUGCUAUUGGGCUUUUGGGCUUCUAUCGCUUUUACCGCUUUUAUCUUUAUCGGGUCUUUAGGCCUUUGGACUUUUAUCGUUUAUGUUAUUCCUAUUUCAGACUUUCGGUUUAUGUCGUAUUUUAUAUUUCGGAUGUUAUCGUUAUCGGGCCUUUUGGCGUUAUGCUAUCGUAUUGACUUUUAUAUUAUGGUGGAAAUUAUUAUUAUUAUUUGAGUUGUAUUAUUAUUUUA
Long non-coding RNA from Brassica napus (rape), 2112 nucleotides. RefSeq lists it as uncharacterized. Lineage: Eukaryota; Viridiplantae; Streptophyta; Magnoliopsida; Brassicales; Brassicaceae. The record is from RefSeq and is a predicted model, not a curated record. The transcript has 5 exons.